UGGGGGAUAUUGCACAAUGGGCGAAAGCCUGAUGCAGCGACGCCGCGUGAGGGAAGACGGUUUUCGGAUUGUAAACCUCUGUCUUCGGGGACGAAAAUGACGGUACCCGAGGAGGAAGCCCCGGCUAACUACGUGCCAGCAGCCGCGGUAAUACGUAGGGGGCGAGCGUUGUCCGGAAUGAUUGGGCGUAAAGGGCGCGUAGGCGGCCUGAUAAGUCUGGAGUGAAAGUCCUGCUUUCAAGGUGGGAAUUGCUUUGGAUACUGUCGGGCUUGAGUGCAGGAGAGGAAAGCGGAAUUACCGGUGUAGCGGUGAAAUGCGUAGAGAUCGGUAGGAACACCAGUGGCGAAGGCGGCUUUCUGGACUGAAACUGACGCUGAGGCGCGAAAGCGUGGGGAGCAAACAGGAUUAGAUACCCUGGUAGU
This 422-nucleotide ribosomal RNA is filed under the name uncultured bacterium. RNAcentral describes it as "bacterial SSU rRNA". It matches the Rfam family "Bacterial small subunit ribosomal RNA", at positions 355 to 794 of the family's 1533-position model. The record is from RNAcentral.